Molecule: long non-coding RNA, 2253 nt
Organism: Xiphophorus couchianus (Monterrey platyfish)
Lineage: Eukaryota; Metazoa; Chordata; Actinopteri; Cyprinodontiformes; Poeciliidae
Exons: 3
Source: RefSeq, a predicted model, not a curated record
UCUUCCCCCGUCUCCUUCUCUCUUUCCUGUCAGUCUACUGUCAUAUAAGGGACACUAGAGCCCACAAAAGACCCUGAAGGGGUAAAAAAUAUAUAUAUAUAUAGUUCUUAUAAUGGAUAAUAACCUAAAGGAGCUUAUGACAAAAAUAUCAAGCUAAGACAUUAGCAAUAUCAUAUAUAUAUAUACAUAUAUAUAUCAUAUGGCAAACUUGUAGAAGAUUAAGGAAAUGUGUGAUAAAACUAAAGAGAAAGAAAAAAUUACAUUAUGAAAACAAAUUGCAUAAUUGUGGUAGCGAAAGUGAACUUUGGUGCAGACGAGAGACUGCUCUGAGACAGACUAUACUGCAGGGCAUUCUGGGAAAAUACACCAAAACAAACGAGCUAGCUUAGCACUAGCAGGAGAAAUGGUUUGUGGUCUUUCACUAAAGACAAAAGAGAAAUUCUCCAACUGCUAAAAUCUCACACCACUUAAUUUCUGUUUACACUUGGUGAAGAGGGAAAUUGCGCUAAAUGUCUUCUUCAGAGGUUUUAGUGUUGUGUCCUUCAGUGGGUCUUGGUGCAGCGCCACCACAAGCAAGGAGGGGAACAGGUUGCUCAAAACAGAAAGAAAGAGAAGCACAGCAGUUGGAGAUGGAACGAAUGUUGCUGUUUGGUCGACAAUCAAACCAAGUCUAGUCUCUGGUCCAUCAAGUCUGUGGCGCGCCGGAGUCGGUGAGGCACCUGCUGUGGGACUGCAGCGCUGCUGUGGACCUGUGGGCGAAAGCUGGCUCCUUGCAAUUUCCACACUUGCCAACAAGGGAGGUCCUCGAACCACAGCUAGUGCUGUACGGGGUGAGCCAGCAGAAAAUAAAGAAAAAGAACUUUGCUGAGAUGUGGCUCACCCUAGCCACCAUCAAAGACACCAUUUGGACCUCCAGAAACUUGCUGGUGAGCAGGCGCAGGCAGAUGCCCCCCGUGGCUGUGAUCCGGAUGGCGGCAGCAAAAAGGAAAACAUCAAGGGCUGCAGGUGGCGCGCCAAGGACACAGCCACCAAGAAGAAUCGCCUGCGCCUCCGUGGACGAAGGAGCCGGCGCUCCACGAAAAGAGGUCCAAGCAGCGGCGGCCUGGCUCUCCGGGUGAGGCAGGAGGGAAGGAGCUUCAGGGCAGGUUUCCCCUCUGAGCACCAAGUGCUGUCUGGAAGGACGGGACGGCUCCGGACUUUGGAAGGAGUCACACCGGUCCUGCUCAACUUUUAACACACAGAGAUUUUAUGUUUUAUACUCUUGUUCUUAGCUUCUUUUAGUAUAAACUGAUGAACUUGGAAAUUUUUUGAAAGGUUCUGUAUAACUGCAAAAAUGUAAUGGAUUUUUAAAUGCUUACAGUAACAAUAAAAAUUUUCGAAAGAAAAAAAAAAAUCAAACCAAGUCUACAAGAUGUUCAGGUGUGAAAACACGUUCUGAAUGAACCUGAACGUCUUUUUGAAAGGAGGAAACCAGAGUACAGACAGAAGGCAAGCUUGCAAACUCCAGGCAGAAAUAGUGGAGAGAUUUGAACCCAGCAUCGUUUUGCCAGAAGGCAGCAUGUGUGCCACCAUGUAACAAAACACUUUACCAAAAUGAAUGACAUAAUUAUCAGAACAACACUGUAAUUAAAGAAUUGCAACUGAAAAGCAAACAUGAAAUGCAUCUGCAAAAACAUGUGCAGAACCGCUGUAGUGAAUAAAAUACGUUCAAACGAACAAGCUGACAAUUUGUUCAUCUUCAAUCCGGACAAACAGAUUUAAACCUGGCUACUAGUGAAGGAUCAAAACAGAACCAAUUUAUGAUGGAUGCAAACAGAAGAAAUAGAUGUUAUUGUUCGUUCUGCGUCAGUGUUUUCUUUUUAAAUAUAACCAAAUAUUUUAAGUCCUCCUAAAAUAUUCAGAAUGUCCUUGUGAUGUUCUCUUGUUGUUCCGAUAACUUUAUCUGAAUCUCGGCGAGAAUCAAAAUAACCAGAUGACAGACAGAGUGGGACGGACUGUCAGACGUUGCUUCUUAUUACUUACAGGCUGUCAGCAGUGAGUGAGACUCAAAUCCUCAAAUAAAAGCUACAAACGUUGGUGUUCAUUAUGAAGCCAAAGUGUUUGCAGCGACUGCUGGAGCUGCUUUGAUGCCUCAUCAGAACAAGAUGGUUUCAGCUUUUCUCCUCACUCUGGUGAUUUCUGGGUUGAUGAAAGAAACAGCAGGAAGUGAACCAGGAAGAGGAGGAGGUGGAGAUGGAGGAGAAGAAAGUGGAG